RNAcentral lists this unclassified non-coding RNA (645 nucleotides) under Hevea brasiliensis (rubber tree). Lineage: Eukaryota; Viridiplantae; Streptophyta; Magnoliopsida; Malpighiales; Euphorbiaceae. The record is from RNAcentral.
AGAAACUAUCAUAGAAAAUGCUCCCAUGGUUAUACGCAGACUUAUUGAGCUCACUUCCUAUCCUUAUAUGAUGGUGAUUCGAGAGACUGCAAUUCAGUGCUUUGGUGCCAUGUCGGAGCUGCCGCAUGCGAGGAUAUAUCCCAUGAGGACACAGGUGUUGCAAGCUAUAACCAAAGCUCUUGAUGAUCCAAAGAGGGUUGUUCGUCUAGAGGCAGUCAAAUGUCGGCUAGCUUGGGCUUCAAUUGCAUCAAGGAGUAUUCACUUCUAAAACCACGCAUCACACCUCCUUGCAAGCCUGGUUGGGGUUUCCUGGAUAGCAGGAUGCUAUUACAUUCAUAGGUUGCAUCCUUACAGAUGGGGAUGUCAGACAUGGUCUUUCAAUAUCAAUACGAGGAAGUGGUCUCCAGAGAAGGGGGGGAAUGCCCAGGGUCUUUGGCAGCUGCCCUUUUUGAUCAAAGUUCUUGCUAAUGGAACAUCCACUCAGCCAAUCAAUCACAGUAUACUUGUUUGACAAUGGGAUGAUUCCCGAUCAGUGAUCCAACAUCGGAAGGGGCAGUGGUUUUAUUCCUAACCCCUGUGAGAGCGAUUCACCGUCAACCAUAAUGCUACAAUGACAUCCCACCUCCCCUCAGUUGGAUGCAGAGG